Molecule: RNA transcript, 2777 nt
Organism: Myotis myotis
Lineage: Eukaryota; Metazoa; Chordata; Mammalia; Chiroptera; Vespertilionidae
Gene: ACP7
Gene name: acid phosphatase 7, tartrate resistant (putative)
Exons: 14
Source: RefSeq, a predicted model, not a curated record
UGUCACUCGGAGAAGACAGGCUCUUCCGGGGCUGGGACGGCUGUGGGCGGCGGGAUGCCUCCGCGCCUGCAAACUCAUAAAUACCGCAGCCGCACUGGUGGCCGGAGACGCGCGUGCAAGCAGUUGGCGCCCUCGAGGCAUCUGGAUAACCAUCCCUGGAAGACCUCCCUUCCAUCCUGCCUCACUCCCAGUGACAUUGCCUGAUCCCGCUCCAUUCUUCAUCCUCCCAGUCCCUCCUGCUCUCCCUGACGGAAUCUAACCUUCUGCGGCCCCCAUCCCUUUCCCCUCUCUGCCCCCUCCACCACCACUAUGGGCCCCUUUCUUCCCUGCUGGUCCUGCUGCUGUCUGCUCCUGUUUUUCUCCCUGGGAGUCCAGGGGGCCCCAAAGGAUCCCAAUGCUGCCCCGGAGCAAGUCCACCUGUCGUACCCAGGUGAGCCGGGCUCCAUGACUGUAACCUGGACCACAUGGGUCCCAACCCAGUCUGAAGUACAGUUCGGGCUGCAGUUAUCAGGGCCCCUGCCCCUCCGGGCCCAGGGCACCGUCAGCCCCUUUGUGGAUGGGGGUUAUCUCCGGCGGAAGCUCUACAUACACCGCGUCACGCUGCAGGGGCUGCUGCCGGGGGUCCAGUAUGUUUACCGCUGUGGCAGUACUCAGGGCUGGAGCCGGCGGUUCCGCUUCAGGGCCCUAAAGAAUGGGUCCCACUGGAGCCCCCUUCUGGCUGUAUUUGGGGACCUGGGGGCUGACAACCCGAGGGCCCUACCCCGGCUGCGCAGGGACACUCAGCAGGGCAUGUACGAUGCUGUUCUCCAUGUGGGAGACUUUGCCUACAACAUGGAUCAGGACAACGCUCGUGUCGGCGACGAGUUCAUGCGUCUCAUCGAGCCUGUGGCUGCCAGCCUCCCGUACAUGACAUGCCCUGGGAAUCAUGAGGAACGCUACAACUUCUCUAACUACAAGGCUCGCUUCAGCAUGCCCGGAAACAAUGAGGGCCUGUGGUACAGCUGGGAUCUGGGCCCUGCGCACAUCAUCUCCUUCUCCACCGAAGUAUAUUUCUACCUCCACUACGGCCGCCACCUGGUAGAGAGACAGUUUCACUGGCUGGAGAGAGACCUCCAGAAAGCCAAUAAGGACCGGGCAGCCCGGCCGUGGAUCAUCACCAUGGGUCACCGGCCCAUGUACUGUUCCAAUGCGGACGUGGAUGACUGUACGUGGCAUGAAAGCAAGGUUCGAAAAGGCCUCUUCGGCAAGUUAUUUGGAUUAGAGGAUCUUUUCUACAAAUACGGGGUCGACCUGCAGCUGUGGGCUCAUGAGCACUCGUACGAACGACUGUGGCCAAUUUACAACUACCAGGUAUUUAACGGCAGUCGAGAGAUGCCCUACACCAACCCUCGAGGCCCUGUCCACAUCAUCACAGGAUCUGCUGGCUGUGAGGAGCGGCUGACCCGCUUCACCCUCUUCCCGCGGCCUUGGAGCGCCGUGCGGGUGAAGGAGUACGGGUACACGCGGCUACACAUCCUCAACGGGACCCACGUCCACAUCCAGCAGGUGUCCGAUGACCAGGAUGGAAAGAUUGUGGACGAUGUAUGGGUGGUGAGACCCCUGCUCCACCGGAUGAUGUACCUCUAGGAACGGGGCGACUCUGAGCCUUGCGGCCUAUGUAACCGGACACCACCCAUGCCCGGCUGGGGAGCCAGGGCAGGCCUUGACUCCUCCGCCUUCCUGAGGGCCCAUGUGGAUGAAUGCGGCCCUGAGGGGGCUGGGCAGCUCCCCCUCCUGGAGAGGUGGGGGUCCCCAGCGGCUGUGUUCGAAGGGCAGUUGCGGACACAGACAGACACAGACGCACAGUCUCCCCCACCGCCACCCCACCCCUCACCCCUGCCCUCUGACAGCUGUCAGCCUGUUCCAUGAAUCCAUGCCUCUGUUUCUGCUUCGUCCGUCAGUUUAUCUUGAACACACCAAGCUGCUUCUGCCGUGGGGCCUGUGCACUGGACCUUUGCUCUCUGAGUGCCCUCUCCCCAGCUCAUCCCAGGCUGGCACCGUCUGAGGCCUCAGAUCACAGCCUUCCCUGACAACCCAGUUAACAUAACCACACCCAGUCUCUGUCCCACCCUGUGUACGUCAAUUCUAGCUCUUGGCUUUCUACAGUUCUUUUACUGAUUUGUUAACCAUUCAUUGUCAAUCUGCCCUGCUGGGCUGGGGGUCUGUGAGGGUGGAGACCCAGACCAUCUUGUUCAUUCCUGGGUCUUUCACCUCCCUCAACCUCUCCCAGGCCCUUCUCAGGCUGGGUUAGGACCCUGGACACCCCCACUUCAACCCCGCCCUUUCUGGGUCAGCACUGUCUGGGGGUGGGUCUGUCUCCACCACUGGACUGUCAACCCAGGAGGGUGGUGUCCAGGGCUCGAACCAGCCCAGCCCAGCACAAGAUAGAUGCUUAAUAAAUAUUUGUUGCCUUAAUGAAGGCUGCCACAUGCCAGAUGCCGGGCAAUGUCGGGGCAGACAGCAAUGAAUCAGAGGUGGUCAGGCCUGGCAUGUUCUGUGUGUACUGAGGCUGUGAGCGUGCCCGGGCGAUGGGGUCCACAGAGAGCAAAGGCCUGGCACGGGAGCCAGACAGAAACCCGGUUAAAUCUCAGCUCUGCCACUUCCAGUGGGAUGUGGAGUCCCUAGCCCUCUCUGAGCCUCCGUUUCUUCAUCUGUAACAAAAGAAUGAUCACACCUUGUGGGGUUGCCUUGGGAUUAAAUGAGUUGAAAGCUUUGGUGUUGUUGUCCUUGACUCCUCU